RNAcentral lists this ribosomal RNA (253 nucleotides) under uncultured bacterium. RNAcentral's name for it is "partial 16S ribosomal RNA". It matches the Rfam family "Bacterial small subunit ribosomal RNA", at positions 524 to 776 of the family's 1533-position model. The record is from RNAcentral.
UACGUAGGGAGCGAGCGUUAUCCGGAAUUAUUGGGUGUAAAGGGAGCGUAGACGGCUGUGCAAGCCAGAUGUGAAAGCCCGGGGCUCAACCCCGGGACUGCAUUUGGAACUGUGUAGCUGGAGUGUCGGAGAGGCAGGCGGAAUUCCUAGUGUAGCGGUGAAAUGCGUAGAUAUUAGGAGGAACACCAGUGGCGAAGGCGGCCUGCUGGACGAUGACUGACGUUGAGGCUCGAAAGCGUGGGGAGCAAACAGG